GGAUUGUGGCUCAGUGGUAGAGCGCUCGCCUAGCAUAGGGAGACCCGGAGUUCGAUCCUCAGCACCA
Molecule: transfer RNA, 67 nt
Filed under: Marmota monax (woodchuck)
Lineage: Eukaryota; Metazoa; Chordata; Mammalia; Rodentia; Sciuridae
Description: tRNA.Ala
Source: RNAcentral